GGGUCCGCACAAGCGGUGGAGCAUGUGGUUUAAUUCGAUGAUACGCGAGGAACCUUACCUAGGCUAUAAUGUGAGUGACCGGUGCUGAAAGGCACUUUUCCUUCGGACCACUUACAAGGUGCUGCAUGGUUGUCGUCAGCUCGUGCCGUGAGGUGUUGGGUUAAGUCCCGCAACGGGCGCAACCCCUAUCUUCAGUUGCCAUCAUUUAGUUGGGGACUCUGGAGAGACUGCCCGUGUAAGCGAGGAGGAAGGCGGGGACGACGUCAAAUCAUCAUGGCCUUUAUGCCUAGGGCUACACACGUGCUACAAUGGCAGGUACAGAGGGCAGCGAAGUCGCGAGGCUAAGCAAAUCUCAAAAAGCCUGUCCCAGUUCGGAUUGGAGUCUGGAACUCGACUCCAUG
Molecule: ribosomal RNA, 401 nt
Filed under: uncultured bacterium
Lineage: Bacteria
Description: bacterial SSU rRNA
Rfam family: Bacterial small subunit ribosomal RNA
Source: RNAcentral